AACGAACGCUGGCGGCAUGCCUAACACAUGCAAGUCGAACGAGACCUUCGGGUCUAGUGGCGCACGGGUGCGUAACGCGUGGGAACCUGCCCUUAGGUUCGGAAUAACUCUCCGAAAGGGGUGCUAAUACCGGAUAAUGUCUUCGGACCAAAGAUUUAUCGCCUUUGGAUGGACCCGCGUUGGAUUAGCUAGUUGGUAGGGUAAAAGCCUACCAAGGCGACGAUCCAUAGCUGGUCUGAGAGGAUGGUCAGCCACACUGGGACUGAGACACGGCCCAGACUCCUACGGGAGGCAGCAGUGGGGAAUAUUGGACAAUGGGCGAAAGCCUGAUCCAGCAAUGCCGCGUGAGUGAUGAAGGCCUUAGGGUUGUAAAGCUCUUUUACCCGGGAUGAUAAUGACAGUACCGGGAGAAUAAGCUCCGGCUAACUCCGUG
Molecule: ribosomal RNA, 433 nt
Filed under: uncultured bacterium
Lineage: Bacteria
Description: partial 16S ribosomal RNA
Rfam family: Bacterial small subunit ribosomal RNA
Source: RNAcentral